Non-coding RNA from Malus domestica (apple), 1166 nucleotides. NCBI's taxonomy places the organism in Eukaryota, Viridiplantae, Streptophyta, Magnoliopsida, Rosales, Rosaceae. The record is from RefSeq and is a predicted model, not a curated record.
GGGAGGGACGGACGAACUCGGUUUCCAUUUUUUGUUUUUUUUUUCCUUUUCUUCUUCUUCUUCUUCUUCCUCCUUAUUCUUUCUGGGUUGCAAGGGAUUGGGUUUAUGGUGGGGAAAGGGGGGACAAACUGGAUUUGGUUUGGGUUUUUUUUGGUGACUCACGAGGACUUCAACGGUGGUUCUGACAGAACAUCAUAAAUGUAGGAUCACCUUUGGGUGUUAUCUAUAUCUAGUACUUGUCCUGCUUGACUGCAUCUAGGAUAUUUAUGCUCUGGCUGUGUAAUUUACAUUUAAUCUCACAUUAGCACUUUAUCUUAGCUAGUAAUGCUGCUAGUAGUUGGUUUUUAUUUAGUCAUAUUUCCCUUGUACACCUUAACAGUAAGCCCCUUGCUCCCUCGCCCGCGCCAACUUCCAUCUCCACCACUCGCUCCCCUCUCUCCUCUCUCUUCUCCUCUCCUCUUUCCUCUUUCCUCUCUUUCUCUCUCUUAGGUUUCUCUCUCCUCUCUCUCUCGCCAGAAGGGCAAAACCCUAAAGAGCCGUUUACACCCACUUGAAUCUGGGUGUUGUUUAUUUGCUUGGUUGGGAGAUAUUGACCAGGAAACAGCUUGACGAAGUGGUUGACGGAGCUGGAGGUGAGGCAGGUGGAAUUGGGGCUGAGAGUGAGAGCCGUGACGCUGUCGCAGCGGUGACGGAUGAGCUUGGGAUGGCUGGACAGGAUAAGAGAGUCGUGGAUGGUGAUUGUGGGGUCGGAGGAGGACGUCGUCACGACUUGGUAGGCCUACUGGUCCCACAGCACCGAUCAGUACGACGGCCACCCGUCGCUGCUCGUGGGCCUCUCGGAGCUUCAAAGUUCUGAUCUUCAUGGCUCUGCGUGCGGAUCGACAGAAACUUGGAUUUGGGUUUUUAUUGGAUUUUCCAGAUUUCUUUGUUGUUUGAUUUUUUUUUCAUGGUUUAGGGGGUAUUUGGGGCUGAGAUUUGAUCUAGGUUUUGAAAGUUUUAGCUCGAUUUUUGUAGGGUUGUUGAUUUUUUUUGGAUUUUGGAGAUGAAGAUUAAGAUGGGUUUAGGAUGAGGGGUUUGGGAUGAUGAAGAUAAAGCCAUGGUUGCUGCAGUUUUAGGAACCACUACUUUUUUUUUUUUUUGAACCCCUUCUCAAAAAAAAAAAAAAA